UCUAACUCACAGCAAUCAUCCUACCUCAGCCUCCCAAGUGCAGGAUUACAGGCCUAUACCACCACACCUGGCUCAGGAAAGGAACAGAACUUCAUUCACACAAGAAAUAAGCUUCCAGGGCAGACUCCAGCUUUCCAAUGCAGACUCUUUGGCUUUCCAACACAGACUCACACCAGUGACUGAAGCGAGCUUCCUGGCCUUCGACCUUCAACUGCUACUGCACCCUCUGGCUCUCUGAUGUGCAAACAGCCACUGGGACUCUUCCUCUUCUAAUGUUAAUGAACAUCUCCAUGAAGAUGAUUAAGCGAAAACAAACUACAAGACAGUAGAUCUAACUGGGCAUGUUGGCACACACUUAUAAUCCCAGCACCUGGGAGGAUAAAGUAGGAGAAUUACCGCAAGUACAAGGCCAUCUGGGGCUACAUAGUGAGUUCAAGGCCAGCCUAAACUGCAUAUAUCCCAUCUCAAAAAAACAAGGACAAAAAAAAAGAUGAUAGGUUUAAAUCUAACUGCAUCAAUAAGUACAUCAAGUACAGCAUAGUAAAGAACUCCUAAUUAAAACAUAAACAAGAACAGCAAGACUCAAGAAUAUGUUAAACAAACUGAGAAUCAACUAUUCUUAGGUACCACAGAGAAUUGAAGUCACAGGGAAAACAUCAGUUAAAAAACUGCAGAGAAGACAAAAACAGAAUCACUGCUUAUAAAGAGCAGAAAUCACCACUGGAAUCAGUAACUGCUAAUAAAUUUAAAGAGUAACUAACUAAUUACAGAGAAGGAGUAUAGACUGGUUUGAGAGAAAAAAAACUCUGGAAACCCAGACUAAGGAAGGGCUCCACACUUCCAUGAGCUGGAAGCUCUUCCAGGUUUGAGGAACUUGCCUGUGCAGCGCAAGAAAGGACUCUACCUUCCACGGGCUUCAAACUUUCAACUUCCAGCUGCUAACAGGCUCUACACCUUUGAUCCCCAUAGCACAGGGCUAGACAGGUGAUGAUCAAACUGACCUGAUCAAAGAAGAGGUCAUAUGCCAGAGAAAAGGUAAGCCUGCCUGAAAGAGUUGGCUGCUUCAGUGAAAAACACUAGCCACAAGAAAAGCCCACAGCUGGUAUAAAUAAAAAAAUCAGUUUGGGGCUUUACCUGGAGAGUGGCUUCUUCACAAUGGAAUAGCCCUGAAAAACAAUCCAGUACAUAGCCCGCCAUAUUGCCAGGGAAAAUUUAAUUAUGUGCCAUUUUGGGAAGGGUUGAUGGUGCAAAACUGAGUGAUGAAACACCACAGUUUCACUCCAGGACUGAACUGUUUCCCUACUACAGUGACUGGAUGAGGGACGGCCAGAGACAGACUGGGAGAACGUGAGCUAGACAAAUCCCCCCAAGUCCCCUAAGAAGUUCAAGUUCAGGCCAGGAAGGAUGGCCUAUGUUCUGUGGUGGGAGGCAAGAUCUGGCUUUCAGAGGGGGCUAGAUCCAAAAGUGAUGGCACUGAAUCCAGCAGCCUGCUUAAGCCCCCACCAUACUGCCUACACCCAGAGGAAACCAGUGGUUUGAUUGCUUCCUUCCUGGAGACCACUACAAAGACCUGAGCAAGAUUUAAAUUAAUCACUUGGCUUUUCAUGUUCACUUGUGAAUCUAUCCAAGGCCUAGGCUCCUUAUCUGGAGAUGGCAGAC
This is a long non-coding RNA of Chinchilla lanigera (long-tailed chinchilla), 1659 nucleotides long. RefSeq lists it as uncharacterized. The record is from RefSeq and is a predicted model, not a curated record. NCBI's taxonomy places the organism in Eukaryota, Metazoa, Chordata, Mammalia, Rodentia, Chinchillidae. The transcript has 3 exons.